RNAcentral lists this transfer RNA (76 nucleotides) under Clostridia bacterium. RNAcentral's name for it is "tRNA-Thr". It matches the Rfam family "tRNA". Rfam says of the family: Transfer RNA (tRNA) molecules are approximately 80 nucleotides in length. Lineage: Bacteria; Bacillati; Bacillota; Clostridia. The record is from RNAcentral.
GCUUCCAUAGCUCAGUAGGUAGAGUGCAUCCUUGGUAAGGAUGAGGUCACGGGUUCAAUUCCCGUUGGAAGCUCCA